GAUGAACGCUGGCGGCGUGCCUAAUACAUGCAAGUCGAGCGAACAGACGAGGAGCUUGCUCCUCUGACGUUAGCGGCGGACGGGUGAGUAACACGUGGAUAACCUACCUAUAAGACUGGGAUAACUUCGGGAAACCGGAGCUAAUACCGGAUAAUAUAUUGAACCGCAUGGUUCAAUAGCGAAAGACGGUUUUGCUGUCACUUAUAGAUGGAUCCGCGCCGCAUUAGCUAGUUGGUAAGGUAACGGCUUACCAAGGCAACGAUGCGUAGCCGACCUGAGAGGGUGAUCGGCCACACUGGAACUGGGACACGGUCCAGACUCCUACGGGAGGCAGCAGUAGGGAAUCUUCCGCAAUGGGCGAAAGCCUGACGGAGCAACGCCGCGUGAGUGAUGAAGGUCUUCGGAUCGUAAAACUCUGUUAUUAGGGAAGAACAAAUGUGUAAGUAACUAUGCACGUCUUGACGGUACCUAAUCAGAAAGCCACGGCUAACUACGUG
RNAcentral lists this ribosomal RNA (497 nucleotides) under uncultured bacterium. Its description in RNAcentral is "partial 16S ribosomal RNA". It matches the Rfam family "Bacterial small subunit ribosomal RNA", at positions 28 to 507 of the family's 1533-position model. The record is from RNAcentral.